This 73-nucleotide transfer RNA is filed under the name Danionella cerebrum. RNAcentral describes it as "tRNA-Pro". It matches the Rfam family "tRNA". From Rfam's summary of the family: Transfer RNA (tRNA) molecules are approximately 80 nucleotides in length. Their secondary structure includes four short double-helical elements and three loops (D, anti-codon, and T loops). The record is from RNAcentral. Lineage: Eukaryota; Metazoa; Chordata; Actinopteri; Cypriniformes; Danionidae.
GGCUCGUUGGUCUAGGGGUAUGAUUCUCGCUUUGGGUGCAAGAGGUCCCGGGUUCAAAUCCUGGACGAAGCCC